UACGUAGGGUGCAAGCGUUAAUCGGAAUUACUGGGCGUAAAAGCGUGCGCAGGCGGUGAUGUAAGACAGGUGUGAAAUCCCCGGGCUUAACCUGGGAACUGCAUUUGUGACUGCAUCGCUGGAGUGCGGCAGAGGGGGGGAUGGAAUUCCGCGUGUAGCAGUGAAAUGCGUAGAUAUGCGGAGGAACACCGAUGGCGAAGGCAAUCCCCUGGGCCUGCACUGACGCUCAUGCACGAAAGCGUGGGGAGCAAACAGG
This 256-nucleotide ribosomal RNA is filed under the name uncultured bacterium. RNAcentral describes it as "partial 16S ribosomal RNA". It matches the Rfam family "Bacterial small subunit ribosomal RNA", at positions 524 to 776 of the family's 1533-position model. The record is from RNAcentral.